Molecule: transfer RNA, 82 nt
Filed under: Astyanax mexicanus (Mexican tetra)
Lineage: Eukaryota; Metazoa; Chordata; Actinopteri; Characiformes; Acestrorhamphidae
Rfam family: tRNA
About the family: Transfer RNA (tRNA) molecules are approximately 80 nucleotides in length.
Source: Rfam by way of RNAcentral
ACCAGGAUGGCCGAGUGGUUAAGGUGUUGGACUUAAGAUCCAAUGGGCGCAUGCCCUCUAGGUUUGAACCCCACUCUUGGUA